UAGAUUGAAGCCAGUUGAUUAGGGUAUUUAGCUGUUAACUAAAAUUUCGUGGGAUAUAAGCCCACCAGUCUAG
This 73-nucleotide transfer RNA is filed under the name Rhinolophus ferrumequinum (greater horseshoe bat). Its description in RNAcentral is "tRNA-Asn". It matches the Rfam family "tRNA". From Rfam's summary of the family: Transfer RNA (tRNA) molecules are approximately 80 nucleotides in length. Their secondary structure includes four short double-helical elements and three loops (D, anti-codon, and T loops). Lineage: Eukaryota; Metazoa; Chordata; Mammalia; Chiroptera; Rhinolophidae. The record is from RNAcentral. RNAcentral also lists the same sequence under 3 other names.